This 519-nucleotide ribosomal RNA is filed under the name Lygodactylus arnoulti. RNAcentral's name for it is "partial 16S ribosomal RNA". It matches the Rfam family "Bacterial large subunit ribosomal RNA", at positions 1837 to 2589 of the family's 2925-position model. Lineage: Eukaryota; Metazoa; Chordata; Lepidosauria; Squamata; Gekkonidae. The record is from RNAcentral.
UCAAAAGUAUUAAGGUCCCACCUGCCCAGUGAAAAAUUUUUUUAAACGGCCGCGGUAUCCUAACCGUGCAAAGGUAGCGCAAUCACUUGCCCCUUAAUUAAGGGCUAGUAUGAAUGGUUACAUGAGGGUUUAACUGUCUCCUAAGGCCAAUCAUUGAACUUGAUGAUUCAGUACAAACGCUGAAAUAACCCCACAAGACGAGAAGACCCUGUGGAACUUUAAGUCCCCUGCAAGCAGACCUAAAUCACAGGCCCCUCCCCUAGCAGGCACUUUCAGUUGGGGCAACUACGGAGUAAAAAAGAACCUCCACGAACCGCAGCUAAAACCUGCACUCCAAGGCCAACACGCCAACCCCCCCCCGCACUGACCCAGCAAAGCUGAUCAACGAACCAAGCUACCCCAGGGAUAACAGCGCCAUCCCCUUCAAGAGUCCAUAUCGCCAAGGGGGUUUACGACCUCGAUGUUGGAUCAGGACCCCCCGGUGGUGUAGCCGCUACCAAAGGUUCGUUGUCAACGAGA